RNAcentral lists this long non-coding RNA (1702 nucleotides) under Aedes aegypti (yellow fever mosquito). Its description in RNAcentral is "lncRNA AAEL021360". The record is from RNAcentral. Lineage: Eukaryota; Metazoa; Arthropoda; Insecta; Diptera; Culicidae.
UUAAUUUCGUUGCUUGUUAAAUUAUUGUUUGUGUAUUUAUUAUUAAAUGUUAUAUCGUUAGGUUUGCCCUUACGAAAAUUUGGUUGUAGUCCUACAACCAAAUUUUCGUAAAACAAGCCUGGUGUUAUGUAGCCUUUGCUCCAUGUAAACUAAAAGUUGAUUGAAAUAUAGUAUGUAAUAUCACUCAAAGUGAUCUAAUCUUAUGAUCAACACUGCGCCGUAAAGUAUACCGGUCAAUAACACAAAUUUGCCGACAUUUUGGUUACGGACGUUAUUAAGAAACAUAUUCGGCCCUGAGAAUUAGCUCCGAAGGUCAAGUUUCAUUCGGAAUCUUCGGAGAAAGUCGAGAGAGAAAAGGUCGCGGCCGAACGCGAAACCUGAGCGAUCGGCCAGCGUAUUCUUCUUAAUUACCGAACUAUUUCGAAGAAGUUCGUGGGACAUUUCGAGCUUCCGCUGGACUCGAACGAGGUCAUCUUCCCUAAUCUGAGGGUCACGGCUUCAAUUCAAUUUCGUCCGAACCGUCAACCAAAGUGGAAGUGUCGCGUGUGAUCGUGAUCGUGUCCUUGAAUUUUCCCUAGUUUAAUAGUUAGAAUAUUCAAGUUGUGCGUUGUAGGCAAGUUUGUGCGUUUCCUUAACCAGAAUACAGGUAUGUGCUCAGUGUGUCCGUCCCGUUCCCAAAUUCCGUGCAUUGUGCUAAUUCCUUUGUGUAACAGCCGUCAACCGCAAGAACAACGUCCGCGACCGCGACAUUGCCAUCUUCGGAACGAAAGUCUCUGACAACCGUCAUUCCGUCGGGAAGGAAGCGAUCCGUCACCAAAUCGCUUCGGAGUCAACCGCGGCUGCCAAGUGCCGCCCAAGAAGGACUCAAGCCAACCACGAGCCCAUCUUCCACCAAAUUCCACGUGGAUCGUCGACCGCGGGUCCAAAGGUCGUUUUUCACCGGCGUGGUCCGCGCGCGCUAGGACCAAGAGCGCAGAACCACCAACAGUAAACGAUCGCCAUCAUCCACCGCUACCGUAGGUAACCAAUACCAGCGCCUGCAGUUAUCGGUGAGUCCGUUGCUUUUUUCAUUGUGAAGGGCGGCGUCCGGUGAGGACGCCGCGGAGGAUUUUUUUUGCCGACCAAAGGUCGUGUAUUUUUGUUGGACUGCCAAGUCGCCUCGAGGCGCGUCCAUGAAAUUUAAGGUUGGGUGCGAUAUGCUAUAAACGUGCGCACGUAAUUUUUGAAUGACCACCCAACCAAAUUUCUAUUAGUCACCCGGGUGCCAAGCAUUUUGUUCGUCUGCCGGCAUCGUCGAGGGAAACCUGCAUGAGAUGAGAAUGAAUGAGAGGAAUACACACUAGCACGAGCACAGGAGAACAGGAUUAGAUAGGAGUAGAAAAAAAAACGCACUUAGAAGACUAGAACGAUAGGUAAUCGAAAUACAUACAUGCAUGUGAUAAUUAUCCGUAAUUAAAUGAUUCGUUUUUUUUCCAUUAUACGUUGAAUGUGUUGUUUUUGAAUAAAGAUGUGAAGCGCAAGACAAAAUUGUUACACAACUAAUAGUUUGGAGAAAGAUUCUAGUUCCACGUUGCUUCGGUGCGUGUCCUUUUCGUUGAAUGUCUUCCGCGUGUUGGAAUUUGACUUUGUUUGAAUUUGUCUCUUCCACUUUGGUUGCGCCUCUGGCGGGAAGUAGUUGAAGCUGCCAAUGAUGAGAGCAUAG